Molecule: transfer RNA, 75 nt
Filed under: Pseudomonadota bacterium
Lineage: Bacteria; Pseudomonadati; Pseudomonadota
Also listed under: 1 other name
Description: tRNA-Gln
Rfam family: tRNA
About the family: Transfer RNA (tRNA) molecules are approximately 80 nucleotides in length. Their secondary structure includes four short double-helical elements and three loops (D, anti-codon, and T loops).
Source: RNAcentral
UGCCGGAUAGCUCAAUGGUAGAGCGCGUGGCUCUGGACCACGAUGUUCCAGGUUCGAGUCCUGGUCCGGCAGCCA